Molecule: ribosomal RNA, 774 nt
Filed under: uncultured Neocallimastigales
Lineage: Eukaryota; Fungi; Neocallimastigomycota; Neocallimastigomycetes; Neocallimastigales
Description: partial large subunit ribosomal RNA
Rfam family: Eukaryotic large subunit ribosomal RNA
Source: RNAcentral
AGAGAGAGACAUGCGCGCAUAUCAAUAAGCGGAGGAAAAGAAACUAACUAGGAUUCCCUCAGUAACGGCGAGUGAAGCGGGAAGAGCUCAAAUUUGAAACCUUCAAGAUUCUACCUUGACGAAUUGUAGUUUAAAGAAGUGUUUUCUGUUGGAGUUUUGGUAAAAGUUCUUUGGAAUAGGACAUCAUAGAGGGUGAGAAUCCCGUAUUUGACCAUUAUUUCCAGCUUUGUGAUACACUUUCAAAGAGUCGGAUUGUUUGGGAAUGCAGUCCAAAAUGGGUGGUAAAUUUCAUCUAAAGCUAAAUAUUGGCGAGAGACCGACAGCGAACAAGUACCGUGAGGGAAAGAUGAAAAGAACUUUGAAAAGAGAGUUAAACAGUACGUGAAAUUGUCAAAAGGGAAGCGUUUGACACCAGUGUUGUUUUCUCGAAAAUCAAUUAAAAAUGGCAGGAUUUUGUGUUGUAUUGACUUUAUCAGCUUUCUGCACUUUUUUCUUGUCUUUUUUAAUGCACUUUUCGUUUAACAAGUCAACAUCAAUUUCUUUUGUUGUAAAAGGGUCAUUGGAAGGUGGCUUUCUUUUCGGAGAAAGUGUUUAUAGCCUUUGAUCUCUGCAACCGGAGAGACUGAGGUCUGCAGCGUAGACUCUUCGGGGUUAGAUACAUUUGUGCUAAGCUAUAGCUUUUUAUAGACAACUUGUUGACUAUAUUUAGUCUUGUGGCUUACUCGCUUAUGCUAUUCUACCUACGCUUAGGAUGUUGACAGCAGUAUAGACUGU